UGGGGAAUAUUGGACAAUGGGGGGAACCCUGAUCCAGCCAUGCCGCGUGUGUGAAGAAGGCCUUAUGGUUGUAAAGCACUUUAAGCGAGGAGGAGGGUACUGGUAUUAAUACUACCAGGUACUGGACGUUACUCGCAGAAUAAGCACCGGCUAACUCUGUGCCAGCAGCCGCGGUAAUACAGAGGGUGCGAGCGUUAAUCGGAUUUACUGGGCGUAAAGCGUGCGUAGGCGGCUAAUUGAGUCGGAUGUGAAAUCCCCGAGCUUAACUUGGGAAUUGCAUUCGAUACUGGUUAGCUAGAGUGUGGGGGAGGAUGGUAGAAUUCCAGGUGUAGCGGUGAAAUGCGUAGAGAUCUGGGGGAAUACCGAGGGCGAAGGCAGCCAUCUGGCCUAACACUGACGCUGAGGUACGAAAGAAUGGGGAGAAAACAGG
This 430-nucleotide ribosomal RNA is filed under the name Pseudomonadota bacterium. RNAcentral's name for it is "Proteobacteria bacterium partial 16S ribosomal RNA". It matches the Rfam family "Bacterial small subunit ribosomal RNA", at positions 355 to 776 of the family's 1533-position model. The record is from RNAcentral. Lineage: Bacteria; Pseudomonadati; Pseudomonadota.